GACGAACGCUGGCGGCGUGCUUAACACAUGCAAGUCGAACGGAAAGGCCCUGCUUUUGUGGGGUGCUCGAGUGGCGAACGGGUGAGUAACACGUGAGUAACCUGCCCUUGACUUUGGGAUAACUUCAGGAAACUGGGGCUAAUACCGGAUAUGAGCUCCUGCUGCAUGUGGGGGGUUGGAAAGUUUCGGCUGUUAUGGAUGGACUCGCGGCUUAUCAGCUUGUUGGUGGGGUAGUGGCUUACCAAGGCUUUGACGGGUAGCCGGCCUGAGAGGGUGACCGGCCACAAUGGGACUGAGAUACGGCCCAGACGCCUACGGGAGGCAGCAGUGGGGAAUAUUGCACAAUGGGCGGAAGCCUGAUGCAGCAACGCCGCGUGCGGGAUGACGGCCUUCGGGUUGUAAACCGCUUUCGCCUGUGACGAAGCGUGAGUGACGGUAAUGGGUAAAGAAGCACCGGCUAACUACGUG
Molecule: ribosomal RNA, 468 nt
Filed under: uncultured bacterium
Lineage: Bacteria
Description: partial 16S ribosomal RNA
Rfam family: Bacterial small subunit ribosomal RNA
Source: RNAcentral